This 82-nucleotide transfer RNA is filed under the name Rhodobacter sp. 140A. Its description in RNAcentral is "tRNA-Leu". It matches the Rfam family "tRNA". From Rfam's summary of the family: Transfer RNA (tRNA) molecules are approximately 80 nucleotides in length. Their secondary structure includes four short double-helical elements and three loops (D, anti-codon, and T loops). The record is from RNAcentral. RNAcentral also lists the same sequence under 1 other name. Lineage: Bacteria; Pseudomonadati; Pseudomonadota; Alphaproteobacteria; Rhodobacterales.
GCGGGCGUGGCGAAAUGGUAGACGCAUGGGACUUAAACUCCCUCGGGCCCAGCCCAUGCCGGUUCGAGUCCGGUCGCCCGCA